UACGGAGGGGGCUAGCGUUGUUCGGAAUGACUGGGCGUAAAGCGCGCGUAGGCGGAUUGGCAAGUUGGGGGUGAAAUCCCGGGGCUCAACCUCGGAAUGGCCUUCAAGACUGCUGGUCUUGAGUUCGAGAGAGGUGAGUGGAAUUCCGAGUGUAGAGGUGAAAUGCGCAGAUAUUCGCAGGAACACCAGUGGCGAAGGCGGCUCACUGGUCCAUAACUGACGCUGAGGUGCGAAAGCGUGGGGAGCAAACAGG
Molecule: ribosomal RNA, 253 nt
Filed under: uncultured bacterium
Lineage: Bacteria
Description: partial 16S ribosomal RNA
Rfam family: Bacterial small subunit ribosomal RNA
Source: RNAcentral